Molecule: ribosomal RNA, 253 nt
Filed under: uncultured bacterium
Lineage: Bacteria
Description: partial 16S ribosomal RNA
Rfam family: Bacterial small subunit ribosomal RNA
Source: RNAcentral
UACAGAAGCCUCAAGCGUUACCCGGAUUUACUGGGCGUAAAGGGUGUGUAGGUGGUGUGAUUAGUCGUGUGUUAAAUCUCUGGGCUUAACCCGGAACUCGCAUACGAAACGGUCAUACUAGAGUAAGUGAGAGGUGUGUGGAACUCAUGGUGUAGGGGUGAAAUCCGUUGAUAUCAUGGGGAACACCAAAAGCGAAGGCAACACACUGGCACUUUACUGACACUGAAACACGAAAGCGUGGGUAGCGAAUCGG